Molecule: long non-coding RNA, 2359 nt
Organism: Harpia harpyja (harpy eagle)
Lineage: Eukaryota; Metazoa; Chordata; Aves; Accipitriformes; Accipitridae
Exons: 3
Source: RefSeq, a predicted model, not a curated record
GGGCAGAAAGGGUUGGCAUAUGCAGCAUGUGAAGAAACACUUCAUUUUUAUUCCCACCCCCCCCCCCCGCCUUUGGAUGUUGGUCUAUGUGUGACCUCAUGAGAACAGAGCAGCAAAUGGGCAUCAAUCAUUAAAGCAGAGGUUCCUAAGUGCCAACGCAAAUGCACGCGCUGCAAUCAAAUCAAUAGCUCUGACGAUCUGUUCAAGGCAACCUAAUGCCUCCUCCAGCCAAAUAACACUGCCCUCUUAAUGGAGGAAAUCCGUCCUCGGUGAGGGGAGCCUUGGCACGGCCAGCAGCUCAUUUAAAACCUGCAAAAAGAGCAUGAAAGCAGCAUGGAUGGGGAAAAAGCCUCCGCACUGGAAAAAGUACUCUUUUGGUCAAGACCAUAUUUUGACCAAUAUUUUUACCAUAUUGGUCAAGACAAGUUUUUAGGUUUUUUUCAUAUUAAAAGUGAGAUAGGAGAGAAUAUUGGGCUACGACACGUGUAUGUGGGCCAUGCUGGGGCUCUGCUGUGAGCUGUGGGACACCUUCGGUCUUCUCCAGCAGCUGCAGCAAAGGCUGCCUCGGCUCCGCAACCCUGCUGCUGCUGCCGGGCUCCCUGCCUUGUCCGUUUGCCAGCCAUUAGCUUCUGCCUUCCAAAAGGAAAAUUUAAGGAGUAAACCAGACCUGAGCGGGAUGCAAAGAAAGCAGCGAUCAUUGUGUCAGGGUACCCGUGUUUCUCAGAAAAAUGCUUCAUUUGGCUUCUCAGCCCAGCAGAAACUGGAUUAAAAUGCUCUAAAUUUGGAAAGUGAACACAAGGCAUUCCAAAUUUGCCAGGUUUUACCAGUAAUCGUAAAGCUGACGUUAGCUUCAGAAUAGCAGGGGGAAAAAAAAAAGUUUGUGUCCAUUUGCAUUUGACAGCUCAAAGUCUUGAAGCCUGAUGUUGCUACAAAUUAGUUGGACAUAAAUCAGAAUUAACUCCUCCGAAGUCAGCAGAAUUGCAAGCACCUGAAAGCCGGCCGGGUGGGUGGGGGGAGCGGGGGCUCUGUGUGCUGUCGGGGCAGCACGGUCCUGCCAGGCCCCUCAGAACAACUCCCUGCCUCUCCAAAAUGAACCGUGUAAGCAAGUAAGUGAAUUAAUGUUAGUUGUGACCUAUAUUUUGGAAGAUAAGGAGAUGUCGGUUGAACUCGCCAUGCCGUGACGGCGGUUCCUGGCCGUGCGGCCGUUACAGUGGUUUUCUGCUUCGUGGGGAAGAAGCGAGACGUAAAGUGCAGUGCCUGUCCUGAGGAAAAGGCUCGGAAACGUGGCCCUGGGCGGCAGCUGGAGAUGCCAACGGCAGAGGGAAUAUCCUGCUCCUUCCCAGAGCUCUUUAAGAACCAGCAGUAUGCAUCUCCUUCUGCACUUUCCUGCUUCGGGUGAAGUCAGUGGCCUUGGACUUCAAAAGGGUCAGAGCUUCACUUCCAGUUUUCCUUCUCAGCCUUCGGAUAUACCAAACGUUCAAACAGAUGAACGUGACUGGGAUGAUCAUGACUGUGUGGUCAAGUUGAACAUCACAGUCCAGAAGGGUCUUCUCAGGUAGGCCACCGUAAUAUUUCAUGACACUUGCGCUUAUAUUUGGCAUCCUCUUUCACCACAUGGGUUUUUCUUUGGAUUUACCCAGUACUUCCUGCAAAAACGGAAAGAAAUUCAUUACUUCAGCGCACUGAUGCAAAACGCCGUCCCUGCAGCAGGGCGUCUGGGACCAUGCCCCGGGUAUCUGUUGCAGGCGGCAUCCCACUGUGGCUAGCAGGCUGUUGUGUUUGUGAAUUUGAUUUUCAGGUGCGAGGCAGAGCUCGAGGCUGUUUAUGCUGGCAGAGAGCGUGCCGGGAGGCAAGAGGGCACUUGCGGCGGUUGUAGCGAUUCACAGAAACGUAAAGGCUCCGACGUAACUGGUGUCGACCUCUAACAGAACCAACGCUGAACGCUGCCGUGACUAGUGCCACAGGACAUGGAGCCUCUUAGCGCACUGUCACGGAGCAGACGGCAUGUGCCGGUGGGCACCUGCCCCCAGAGCAGCAGGACGAGGAGGAGGAGCAGGUGAGGAGCAAGGGACCCUGGCUACGGGUCUGACUCUGCGGAGAAUCCCCAGGACACACGGAAAGGAGAAAACACCUACAGCUUCCCGGCAGGAAAAUGGAAGGGUCAUCAGGGAAACACAACGGCAGCAUGGCUUGCUAAAGAAAAACAACAGAGUGACGAAAAACGGCUGUCGGCGACCGAGAAAUACUCAAAUCCACCGAUUUUAACACUCCCCCGUGCUAGUCACCUCGAACCCGCGCGACCUCUGUGUGGAAAACGUGCCCGGCCGUAUGGCUGCAUCGCCGAGCUUUUCCACAAAGA